GACGAACGCUGGCGGCGUGCCUAAUACAUGCAAGUAGAACGCUGAAGAGAGGAGCUUGCUCUUCUUGGAUGAGUUGCGAACGGGUGAGUAACGCGUAGGUAACCUGCCUUGUAGCGGGGGAUAACUAUUGGAAACGAUAGCUAAUACCGCAUAACAAUAGGUGACACAUGUCAUUUAUUUGAAAGGGGCAAUUGCUCCACUACAAGAUGGACCUGCGUUGUAUUAGCUAGUAGGUGAGGUAACGGCUCACCUAGGCGACGAUACAUAGCCGACCUGAGAGGGGGAGCGGCCACACUGGGACUGAGACACGGCCCAGACGCCUACGGGAGGCAGCAGUAGGGAAUCUUCGGCAAUGGGGGCAACCCUGACCGAGCAACGCCGCGGGAGUGAAGAAGGUUUUCGGAUCGGAAAGCUCGGUUGUAAGUCAAGAACGAGUGUGAGAGUGGAAAGUUCACACUGUGACGGUAGCUUACCAGAAAGGGACGGCUAACUACGUG
Molecule: ribosomal RNA, 497 nt
Filed under: uncultured bacterium
Lineage: Bacteria
Description: partial 16S ribosomal RNA
Rfam family: Bacterial small subunit ribosomal RNA
Source: RNAcentral